GAUGAACGCUGGCGGCGUGCCUAAUACAUGCAAGUCGAGCGAACAGACGAGGAGCUUGCUCCUCUGACGUUAGCGGCGGACGGGUGAGUAACACGUGGAUAACCUACCUAUAAGACUGGGAUAACUUCGGGAAACCGGAGCUAAUACCGGAUAAUAUAUUGAACCGCAUGGUUCAAUAGUGAAAGACGGUUUUGCUGUCACUUAUAGAUGGAUCCGCGCCGCAUUAGCUAGUUGGUAAGGUAACGGCUUACCAAGGCAACGAUGCGUAGCCGACCUGAGAGGGUGAUCGGCCACACUGGAACUGCGCCACGGUCCAGACUCCUACGGGAGGCAGCAGUAGGGAAUCUUCCGCAAUGGGCGAAAGCCUGACGGAGCAACGCCGCGUGAGUGAUGAAGGUCUUCGGAUCGUAAAACUCUGUUAUUAGGGAAGAACAAAUGUGUAAGUAACUAUGCACGUCUUGACGGUACCUAAUCAGAAAGCCACGGCUAUCUACGUG
Molecule: ribosomal RNA, 497 nt
Filed under: uncultured bacterium
Lineage: Bacteria
Description: partial 16S ribosomal RNA
Rfam family: Bacterial small subunit ribosomal RNA
Source: RNAcentral